UUGGGCCUGCUCGGUGAAUAAUUUUUAACAGCUGCGGUAUUUUAACUGUACUAAGGUAGCAUAAUAAUUUGCCUUAUAAUUUGAGGCUAGAAUGAAUGGUUUGACGAAGGUUAAUCUGUCUCUAUCUUAUUUUUUAGAAUUUAAUUUUUAAAGUGAAAAAGCUUGAAUUUUUUAAAGGGACGAGAAGACCCUAAUGAGCUUAUAAUUUUAUUAUUAUUAUUUAAUAUAUUUAAAUGAUAAUAUAUAAAUUUUAAUUGGGGUGAUUAAGGAAUAAAGAAUUAUAUAAUAACUUCCUUAGAUUAAAUAUAUAUAGAUAAAGUAACCAAUAAUAUAUUGCUUAUAAUAUAGUUACCAUAGGGAUAACAGCGUAAUUUGUUUAGAGAGUUCUUAUUGAAAAACAAGAUUGCGACCUCGAUGUUGGAUUAAAGUAACCUUAAGGUGCAGAAGCUUUAGUA
RNAcentral lists this ribosomal RNA (455 nucleotides) under Illex illecebrosus. RNAcentral's name for it is "partial 16S ribosomal RNA". It matches the Rfam family "Bacterial large subunit ribosomal RNA", at positions 1853 to 2569 of the family's 2925-position model. Lineage: Eukaryota; Metazoa; Mollusca; Cephalopoda; Oegopsida; Ommastrephidae. The record is from RNAcentral.